This 1473-nucleotide ribosomal RNA is filed under the name metagenome. RNAcentral's name for it is "bacterial SSU rRNA". It matches the Rfam family "Bacterial small subunit ribosomal RNA". The record is from RNAcentral.
AGAGUUUGAUCCUGGCUCAGAUUGAACGCUGGCGGCAUGGCUAAAACAUGCAAGUCGAACGAGAAAGUGGGGGCAACCCCGCGAGUAAAGUGGCGAAUGGGCGAGGAAUACGUUCCUAACGUGCCCCAGGGUCGAGGAUAGCUCGGGGAAACCCGAGGUAAUACUCGAUGACCCCGCGAAGCCGCAUGGCUUUGUGGGCAAAGGCUUGCUGCCCUGGGUUCGGGGAACGUCCUAUCAGGUAGUUGGUGAGGUAACGGCUCACCAAGCCUUAGACGGGUAGCGGGUGUGAGAGCACGGCCCGCCGCAUCGGGACUGAGACACUGCCCGGACUCCUACGGGAGGCUGCAGUAACGAAUAUUGGACAAUGAGCGCAAGCUUGAUCCAGCAAUGCCGCGUGCAGGAUGAAGCCCCUCGGGGUGUAAACUGCUGUCAGGGUCUAGAAACACAAUGAUCAGACCCAGAGGAAGGGCCGGCUAACUCUGUGCCAGCAGCCGCGGUAAUACAGAGGGCCCGAGCGUUAAUCGGAAUUACUGGGCUUAAAGGGUGCGUAGGCGGAUCCGUAAGUGCUUUGUGAAAUACCUUGGCUCAACCAAGGAACUGCUUGGCAAACUGCGGGUCUUGAGGUCGGUAGGGGCUGCUGGAACUCUAGGUGGAGCGGUGAAAUGCGCAGAUAUCUAGAGGAACGCCCAAGGCGAAGGCAGGCAGCUGGGCCGAUUCUGACGCUGAGGCACGAAAGCGUGGGGAGCGAACGGGAUUAGAUACCCCGGUAGUCCACGCCCUAAACGAUGUGCACUAGAUUGCGGAGGCACUGACGUCGACGCGGUCGAAGCAAAAGUGAUAAGUGCACCGCCUGGGGAGUACGGUCGCAAGGCUAAAACUCAAAGGAAUUGACGGGGGCUCACACAAGCGGUGGAGCCUGUGGCUCAAUUCGAAGCAACGCGAAGAACCUUAUCCAGGGUUUGACAUGCACGGAUUAGGUCGGUGAAAGCCGGCUGACACUCUUUGAGUGGAACGUGCACAGGUGCUGCAUGGCUGUCGUCAGCUCGUGCUGUGAAGUGUCGGGUUAAGUCCCUUAACGAGCGAAACCCCUAUCGUUAGUUACCAUCGGGUAAAGCCGGGUACUCUAGCGAGACUGCCGGUGUCAAACCGGAGGAAGGUGGGGAUGACGUCAAGUCCUCAUGGCCUUUAUGCCCUGGGCUGCACACGUGCUACAAUGGCGCGUACAAAGCGAAGCGAUACGGCAACGUGGAGCAAAUCGCAAAAAGCGCGCCCCAGUUCGGAUCGGGGCCUGCAACCCGACCCCGUGAAGUUGGAAUCGCUAGUAAUCGCGGAUCAGCUACGCCGCGGUGAAUACGUUCCUGAGCCUUGUACACACCGCCCGUCAAGUCAUGGGAGCCGGGAGUACCCGAAGCCGCCUCGCUACAGAGGUGUCGACGGUAAGCUCGGUGACUGGGACUAAGUCGUAACAAGGUA